This 400-nucleotide ribosomal RNA is filed under the name phytoplankton environmental sample. Its description in RNAcentral is "partial small subunit ribosomal RNA". It matches the Rfam family "Eukaryotic small subunit ribosomal RNA", at positions 587 to 991 of the family's 1831-position model. The record is from RNAcentral.
AGCUCCAAUAGCGUAUAUUAAAGUUGUUGCAGUUAAAAAGCUCGUAGUUGGAUUUGUGGCUGUCGCGUGCGGCCUGGCACUUAGUGCCGGUGUUUGCUUGCGUCGCCAUCCUUGGGUGGAACCUGUGUGGCAUUAGGUUGUCGCGCAGGGGAUGCCCAUCGUUUACUGUGAAAAAAUUAGAGUGUUCAAAGCAGGCUUAUGCCGUUGAAUAUAUUAGCAUGGAAUAAUAAGAUAGGACCUUGGUACUAUUUUGUUGGUUUGCGCACCAAGGUAAUGAUUAAUAGGGACAGUUGGGGGUAUUCGUAUUCCAUUGUCAGAGGUGAAAUUCUUGGAUUUUUGGAAGACGAACUACUGCGAAAGCAUUUACCAAGGAUGUUUUCAUUAAUCAAGAACGAAAGUA